UUAAGUGAAUAAGGGCGCACGGUGGAUGCCUUGGCACUAGGAGCCGAUGAAGGACGGGACUAACACCGAUAUGCUUUGGGGAGCUGUACGUAAGCUAUGAUCCAGAGAUUUCCGAAUGGGGAACGGCAGCAUCUUUAAUAGGAUGUUACGAUUGUGUGAAUACAUAGCACAUUCGAGGUAGACGCAGAGAACUGAAACAUCUAAGUACCUGCAGGAAGAGAAAGAAAAUUCGAUUCCCUGAGUAGCGGCGAGCGAAACGGGAAAAGCCCAAACCAGCAAGCUUGCUUGUUGGGGUUGUAGGACUCCAAUAUGGUAGUUCUUUCAGAUAGUCGAAUGACUUGGAAAAGUCAGUCAAAGAGGGUAAAAACCCCGUAGACGAAAUGUGGAAGACACCUAGGAGGAUCCUGAGUACGGCGGAACACGAGAAAUUCCGUCGGAAUCCGGGAGGACCAUCUCCCAAGGCUAAAUACUCCCUAGUGACCGAUAGUGAACCAGUACAGUCGCGAGGCUAAGCUAAUCUCUUAAAGCUUCUCUCAGUUCGGAUUGCAGGCUGUGUGCCUACAACAAGUCAAAGCCCGUUAAUGGGUGAUGGCGUGCCUUUUGUAGAAUGAACCGGCGAGUUACGAUUGCAUGCGAGGUUAAGUUGAAGAGACGGAGCCGCAGCGAAAGCGAGUCUGAAUAGGGCGUUUGAGUAUGUAGUCGUAGACCCGAAACCAUGUGAUCUACCCAUGUCCAGGUUGAAGGUGCGGUAAAACGCACUGGAGGACCGAACCCACGUACGUUGAAAAGUGCGGGGAUGAGGUGUGGGUAGCGGAGAAAUUCCAAACGAACUUGGAGAUAGCUGGUUCUCUCCGAAAUAGCUUUAGGGCUAGCCUCGGAAUUGAGAAUGAUGGAGGUAGAGCACUGUUUGGACUAGGGGCCCAUCUCGGGUUACCGAAUUCAGAUAAACUCCGAAUGCCAUUAACUGGAUAUUUGAAGUAAAUGUAAGUAAUACAAACCGAGAACACCGCGUUGAAUUUGAAAGCUGAACAAAUUGUUUAGCCUGAAAUAUGUUAAGUGGAAAAGGAUGUGGGGUUGCACAGACAACUAGGAUGUUGGCUUAGAAGCAGCCAUCAUUUAAAGAGUGCGUAAUAGCUCACUAGUCGAGUGACCCUGCGCCGAAAAUGUACCGGGGCUAAACAUAUUACCGAAGCUGUGGAGUACACCUUUAGGUGUAUUGGUAGGAGAGCGUUCUAAGGGCGUCGAAGGCAGAUCGUGAGGACUGCUGGAGCGCUUAGAAGUGAGAAUGCCGGUAUGAGUAGCGAAAGACAGGUGAGAAUCCUGUCCACCGAACCGAAUGGGGGAACCCAGCAUCUUUAAUAGGAUGUUACGAUUGUGGACCUAAGCCGAGGCCGACAGGCGUAGGCGAUGGAUAACAGGUUGAUAUUCCUGUACCCGUUGUUUUUGUUUGAGCAAUGGAGGGACGCAGGAGGCUAAGGAAUGCAGACGAUCGGAAAUGUCUGUCCAAGCAGUAAGUCUGAAGAGGAGUUAAAUGCUUCUUUUCUUAAGGACAAGCUGUGAUGGGGAGGGAAAUAAUAGUACCGAAGUUCCUGAUGUCACACUGCCGAGAAAAGCUUCUAGUGAGAAAACAGCGGCCCGUACCGCAAACCGACACAGGUAGUCGAGGAGAGAAUCCUAAGGUGAGCGAGAGAACUCUCGUUAAGGAACUCGGCAAAAUGACCCCGUAACUUCGGGAGAAGGGGUGCUGAUCAUACGAUCAGCCGCAGUGAAUAGGCCCAAGCGACUGUUUAUCAAAAACACAGGUCUCUGCAAAAUCGUAAGAUGAAGUAUAGGGGCUGACGCCUGCCCGGUGCUGGAAGGUUAAGAGGAGUGCUUAGCGCAAGCGAAGGUACGAAUUGAAGCCCCAGUAAACGGCGGCCGUAACUAUAACGGUCCUAAGGUAGCGAAAUUCCUUGUCGGGUAAGUUCCGACCCGCACGAAAGGCGUAACGAUUUGGGCACUGUCUCAACGAGAGACUCGGUGAAAUUUUAGUACCUGUGAAGAUGCAGGUUACCCGCGACAGGACGGAAAGACCCCAUGGAGCUUUACUGUAGUUUGAUAUUGAGUGUCUGUACCGCAUGUACAGGAUAGGUAGGAGCCGUAGAAAUCGGAACGCUAGUUUCGAUGGAAACUCCGAAUGCCAUUCAUUCAUAUCCGGGAGUCAGACUGUGAGCACCACUAAUCGUGGUGGGAGACAGUGUCAGAUGGGCAGUUUGACUGGGGCGGUCGCCUCCUAAAAGGUAACGGAGGCGCCCAAAGGUUCCCUCAGAAUGGUUGGAAAUCAUUCGAAGAGUGUAAAGGCAGAAGGGAGCUUGACUGCGAGACCAACAAGUCGAGCAGGGACGAAAGUCGGGCUUAGUGAUCCGGUGGUUCCGCAUGGAAGGGCCAUCGCUCAACGGAUAAAAGCUACCCUGGGGUAAGGGCGUCGAAGGCAGAUCGUGAGGACUGCCGACGGGGAGGUUUGGCACCUCGAUGUCGGCUCGUCGCAUCCUGGGGCUGUAGUCGGUCCCAAGGGUUGGGCUGUUCGCCCAUUAAAGCGGCACGCGAGCUGGGUUCAGAACGUCGUGAGACAGUUCGGUCCCUAUCCGUCGCGGGCGUUGGAAAUUUGAGAGGAGCUGUCCUUAGUACGAGAGGACCGGGAUGGACUUACCGCUGGUGUACCAGUUGUUCUGCCAAGGGCAUUGCUGGGUAGCUAUGUAGGGAAGGGAUAAACGCUGAAAGCAUCUAAGUGUGAAGCCCACCUCAAGAUGAGAUUUCCCAUUUCUUUAAGAAAGUAAGAUCCCUGAGAGAUGAUCAGGUAGAUAGGUCAGGAGUGGAAGUACAGUGAUGUAUGGAGCGGACUGAUACUAAUCGAUCGAGGACUUAACC
This 2907-nucleotide ribosomal RNA is filed under the name Enterococcus faecium. RNAcentral's name for it is "23S ribosomal RNA". It matches the Rfam family "Bacterial large subunit ribosomal RNA". The record is from RNAcentral. Lineage: Bacteria; Bacillati; Bacillota; Bacilli; Lactobacillales; Enterococcaceae.